Molecule: small RNA, 21 nt
Filed under: Arabidopsis thaliana (thale cress)
Lineage: Eukaryota; Viridiplantae; Streptophyta; Magnoliopsida; Brassicales; Brassicaceae
Description: Ath_wt_02976
Source: RNAcentral
ACUCAACGGAAUAUUGUUGUG